This 433-nucleotide ribosomal RNA is filed under the name uncultured bacterium. Its description in RNAcentral is "partial 16S ribosomal RNA". It matches the Rfam family "Bacterial small subunit ribosomal RNA", at positions 29 to 507 of the family's 1533-position model. The record is from RNAcentral.
AACGAACGCUGGCGGCAGGCCUAACACAUGCAAGUCGAGCGCGCCCUUCGGGGUGAGCGGCGGUCGGGUGUGUAACGCGUGGGAACGUUCCCUUCUCUGCGGAAUAGCCUCGUGUAACUGAGAGUAAUACCGCAUACGCCCUUUGGGUGCAAGAUUUAUCGGAGAAGGAUCGGCCCGCGUUGGAUUAGGUGGUUGGUGGGGUAAGGGCCCACCAAGCCGACGCUCCCUAGCUGGUUUGAGAGGAUGGUCAGCCACACUCGGACGGGGACACGGCCCAGACUACUACGGGAGGCGGGAGAGGGGAAUCUAGGAAAACGGGGGGAACCAAGAACGAGCCAGGGCGGGAGAGUGAUGAAGGUGUGAGGGUAGAAAAGCAGUUUAAGAUGGGAAGGUAAUGACGGUACCAGAAGAAGAAGCCCCGGCUAACUCCGUG